UCUAGGGGAGGCAGCAGUGGGGACUAUUGGGCAAUGGGUGCAAGCCUGACCCAGCAACGCCGCGUGAAGGAAGAAGGCUUUCGGGUUGUAAACUUCUUUUCUCAGGGACGAAGCAAGUGACGGUACCGGAGGAAUAAGCCACGGCUAACCACGUGCAAGCAGCCGCGGAAAUACGUAGGGGGCAAGCGUUAUCCGGAUUUACUGGGUGUAAAGGGCGUGUAGGCGGGGAGGCAAGUCAGAGUUGAAAACCACGGGCUCAACCUGUGGCCUGCAUUUGAAACUGUGUUUAUUGAGUACUGGAGAGGCAGACGGAAUUCCUAGUGUAGCGGUGAAAUGCGUAGAUAUUAGGAGGAACACCAGUGGCGAAGGCGGUCUGCUGGUCAGCAACUGACGCUGAGGCGCGAAAGCGUGGGGAGCAAACAGGAUUAGAUACCCGUGUAGUC
RNAcentral lists this ribosomal RNA (443 nucleotides) under uncultured bacterium. RNAcentral's name for it is "partial 16S ribosomal RNA". It matches the Rfam family "Bacterial small subunit ribosomal RNA", at positions 338 to 795 of the family's 1533-position model. The record is from RNAcentral.